UACGUAGGGUGCAAGCGUUGUCCGGAAUUAUUGGGCGUAAAGAGCUCGUAGGCGGUGUGUUACGUCGGCCGUGAAAACCUGCAGCUUAACUGUGGGCGUGCGGUCGAUACGGGCAUCACUGGAGUUCGGCAGGGGAGACUGGAAUUCCUGGUGUAGCGGUGAAAUGCGUAGAUAUCUGGAGGAACACCGGUGGCGAAGGCGGCAUCCUGGACCAAUACUGACGCUGAGUGAGCGAAAGCCAGGGGAGCAAACGGG
Molecule: ribosomal RNA, 255 nt
Filed under: uncultured bacterium
Lineage: Bacteria
Description: partial 16S ribosomal RNA
Rfam family: Bacterial small subunit ribosomal RNA
Source: RNAcentral